UGCGUAGGCGGGCUAAUAAGUCAGUGGUGAAAUCUUCCGGCUCAACCGGGAACCUGCCAUUGAUACUGUUAGUCUUGAGUUCGGCUGAGGUAGGCGGAAUGUGUAAUGUAGCGGUGAAAUGCUUAGAUAUUACACAGAACACCAAUUGCGUAGGCAGCUUACUAGACCGACACUGACGCUGAGGCACGAAAGCGUGGGGAGCGAACAGGAUUAGAUACCCUGGUAGUCC
Molecule: ribosomal RNA, 229 nt
Filed under: uncultured bacterium
Lineage: Bacteria
Description: partial 16S ribosomal RNA
Rfam family: Bacterial small subunit ribosomal RNA
Source: RNAcentral